GAUGAAGAACGUAGCGAAAUGCGAUAACUAAUGUGAAUUGCAGUAUUCCGUGAAUCAUCGAGUCUUUGAACGCACAUUGCGCCCCCUGGUAUUCCGGGGGGCAUGCCUGUCCGAGCGUCAUUGCUGCCCAUCAAGCACGGCUUGUGUGUUGGGUCCUCGUCCCCCCCGGGGGACGUGCCCGAAAGGCAGCGGCGGCACCGCGUCCGGUCCUCGAGCGUAUGGGGCUUUGUCACCCGCUCUGCAGGCCCGGCCGGCGCUGGCCGACGCGAAAGCAACCAUUUUUUCUCCAGGUUGACCUCGGAUCAGGUAGGGAUACCCGCUGAACUUAAGCAUAUCAAUAAGCGGAGGA
Molecule: unclassified non-coding RNA, 349 nt
Filed under: soil metagenome
Description: partial contains 5.8S ribosomal RNA, internal transcribed spacer 2, and large subunit ribosomal RNA
Rfam family: 5.8S ribosomal RNA (bases 1-120)
Source: RNAcentral